Molecule: ribosomal RNA, 405 nt
Filed under: uncultured prokaryote
Description: bacterial SSU rRNA
Rfam family: Bacterial small subunit ribosomal RNA
Source: RNAcentral
UGGGGAAUAUUGCGCAAUGGGGGAAACCCUGACGCAGCAACGCCGCGUGGAGGAAGAAGGCCUUCGGGUUGUAAACUCCUGUCAUUGGGGAAGAAAAAAAUGACGGUACCCAAUGAGGAAGCCACGGCUAACUACGUGCCAGCAGCCGCGGUAAUACGUAGGUGGCAAGCGUUGUCCGGAAUUAUUGGGCGUAAAGGGCGCGUAGGCGGCCUGGUAAGUCAGAUGUGAAACCCCCGGGCUUAACUUGGGGCAUGCAUUUGAAACUUCUGGUCUUGAGUACUGGAGAGGAUGGGGGAAUUCCCGGUGUAGAGGUGAAAUUCGUAGAGAUCGGGAGGAAUAUCAGUGGCGAAGGCGCCCAUCUGGACGGUAACUGACGCUGAGACGCGAAAGCGUGGGGAGCAAACA